CACAGUUCCUCCGGACAUCUCCCGUCGGUUUUGCUCUUGCAGAAAGCGUGUGCAGAGCACGGACCAACCUGUGCAGGAAAGAUGGAAGCCAUAUCAAAAUCUGAGGAAGAGCAUUUGAACUCUCUCCACCCGCAUGUUGACCUUGAGCAAAAGGAGGCAUCAGCAUCUCCCAAGAUCUGGAAAUACCUAUCAAUUAAAGAUAUCCUCAUAGGUAUCCUUGUUUUCCUGGUCAUCGCGCUUACCAUUUCCAUUA
Long non-coding RNA from Lacerta agilis (Sand lizard), 253 nucleotides. RefSeq lists it as uncharacterized. The record is from RefSeq and is a predicted model, not a curated record. Lineage: Eukaryota; Metazoa; Chordata; Lepidosauria; Squamata; Lacertidae. The transcript has 3 exons.